Molecule: ribosomal RNA, 639 nt
Filed under: Pantoea dispersa
Lineage: Bacteria; Pseudomonadati; Pseudomonadota; Gammaproteobacteria; Enterobacterales; Erwiniaceae
Description: bacterial SSU rRNA
Rfam family: Bacterial small subunit ribosomal RNA
Source: RNAcentral
CUUGCUCUUUGGGUGGCGAGUGGCGGACGGGUGAGUAAUGUCUGGGAAACUGCCCGAUGGAGGGGGAUAACUACUGGAAACGGUAGCUAAUACCGCAUAACGUCGCAAGACCAAAGUGGGGGACCUUCGGGCCUCACACCAUCGGAUGUGCCCAGAUGGGAUUAGCUAGUAGGUGGGGUAAUGGCUCACCUAGGCGACGAUCCCUAGCUGGUCUGAGAGGAUGACCAGCCACACUGGAACUGAGACACGGUCCAGACUCCUACGGGAGGCAGCAGUGGGGAAUAUUGCACAAUGGGCGCAAGCCUGAUGCAGCCAUGCCGCGUGUAUGAAGAAGGCCUUCGGGUUGUAAAGUACUUUCAGCGGGGAGGAAGGCGGUGAGGUUAAUAACCUCGCCGAUUGACGUUACCCGCAGAAGAAGCACCGGCUAACUCCGUGCCAGCAGCCGCGGUAAUACGGAGGGUGCAAGCGUUAAUCGGAAUUACUGGGCGUAAAGCGCACGCAGGCGGUCUGUUAAGUCAGAUGUGAAAUCCCCGGGCUUAACCUGGGAACUGCAUUUGAAACUGGCAGGCUUGAGUCUCGUAGAGGGGGGUAGAAUUCCAGGUGUAGCGGUGAAAUGCGUAGAGAUCUGGAGGAAUACCG